CGGAUAACGGGGAGGAAGGUGGGGAUGACGUCAAGUCNUCAUGGCCUUUAUGUCCAGGGNACACACGUGNUACAAUGGCCGGUACAAACCGCUGCAAACCCGCGAGGGGGAGCCAAUCGGAAAAAGCCGGCCUCAGUUCGGAUUGGAGUCUGCAANUCGACUCCAUGAAGCUGGAAUCGCUAGUAAUCGUGGAUCAGCAUGCCACGGUGAAUACGUUCCCGGGCCUUGUACACACCGCCCGUCACAUCACGAAAGUGGGUUG
RNAcentral lists this ribosomal RNA (262 nucleotides) under uncultured bacterium. RNAcentral's name for it is "partial 16S rRNA". It matches the Rfam family "Bacterial small subunit ribosomal RNA", at positions 1155 to 1417 of the family's 1533-position model. The record is from RNAcentral.